GCAGGGGUCGGAUAGUCUGGUCAAUUCCGCUAGGUUGAGGGCCUAGUCCCUUAGUGGGUACGAGAGUUCAAAUCUCUCCUCCUGCA
RNAcentral lists this transfer RNA (86 nucleotides) under Candidatus Aenigmatarchaeota archaeon. RNAcentral's name for it is "tRNA-Leu". It matches the Rfam family "tRNA". Rfam says of the family: Transfer RNA (tRNA) molecules are approximately 80 nucleotides in length. Their secondary structure includes four short double-helical elements and three loops (D, anti-codon, and T loops). The record is from RNAcentral. Lineage: Archaea; Nanobdellati; Candidatus Aenigmatarchaeota.